Molecule: ribosomal RNA, 227 nt
Filed under: uncultured bacterium
Lineage: Bacteria
Description: partial 16S ribosomal RNA
Rfam family: Bacterial small subunit ribosomal RNA
Source: RNAcentral
CAGAAAUAAACGUCCCAGUUCGGAUUGUAGUCUGCAACCCGACUACAUGAAGCUGGAAUCGCUAGUAAUCGCGAAUCAGAAUGUCGCGGUGAAUACGUUCCCGGGUCUUGUACACACCGCCCGUCACACCAUGGGAGUCGGAAAUGCCCGAAGUCAGUGACCCAACCGCAAGGAGGGAGCUGCCGAAGGUGGAGCCGGUAACUGGGGUGAAGUCGUAACAAGGUAUC